UACUGCAAUGAAGAUGAAUGUAUAAUAACUGAUUAAAAACUAAAAUGUACAACUUUCAGUAAAUAACUAUGUACAUGCUUAGGAUGUUGUAAUAAUGUACAGGGUAACUUCAGAUAUAAAAACGAAGACUUGUAAAAAAUUUUUUAUCAUUAAAAUCUGAUACCAUCCAUUGAUUUAAUAGAACCUUUGGGUAUACCAACAUGGCGGCGCGGUGGCUUUACAGUUGUGACGUCAUGCGCAAUCCAGUCAUUUAUAUAGAUCAGUGGAUACAGCCAGAAAACCCGGAGUGGAUCUGGUGCGUAGUGAUUAGAGAAUGCUUACAGUGGAGAGAGGAACGUGAUUUGGCUCCCCUCCAGGCUUUGAUCACAUUCCACUUAAGAAGGUGAAUACACAGUGUCUUUAUGAAAAGAUAUUUUAAUAAUUUUGCAACUGACGAAAAUCUGUCGUAGACUCGCUGCAAUCGACGGAAAUCCGUCGCUACGACGGAGAACUUUAAUCCAUGCGAUCGACGUAUUGGACACCCCUGUUCUAGGGUAAUGAAAUUGCUAAUAGUUUUUCUUUUGUUGUUUGUUCACAGGCUGGGAUGGUAUCUGGUCAGUCAGCCAUACUUGUCUGGAAGAAGGACUUUGUGAAUCAUAUUUGGUUUUGUUGCCAGAUGGCAAACAAUCGAGAAGAGUUCAUGGGUAUGCGGCGAGGGGUCCUUCACCAUGUCUGUGGUGUGCAUGAAUGGGCCCUUGGUAAAUGUCAACAUCAGCCACUGGAUGCGGUGAGCAGUGCCAAAGACCACUGCUGCAUGCUGUCUCGUUCUGCAGCACAUGAGGCACUCUCACAAAUCGUGCUCAACAGACGAUGACUGAAGGAUGUAGAGAAGUUUCUGAAAUUUAGGUCAACUUCUGAACUGGAGGCCUUUCAGAAUCAUCUGUUGAUGUAUGUUAGCAAGCGGUUUGCCUUCUCCCCUCUAGUCUAUGAAGCAAGGACCCUCCUCGCUGCACUGGACUACAACCACCACAACCACCGACCAGUACACAUCAACCAGAGAGGCGAAGUCUCACAAAGAAGGUUAUACAGCAAAAAGUCUAAACGUUAUCGGGUCCACACGGUAAAGGUUUGCAAAGAAUACAACUACAUCCCUCAGCUGCAGCGCCAAAUUUUGGGUACACAUAGGGCUGGGUCGGUUUGGAUUUUUUUCUUACUUCGGUAAUCAACAAAUUCCCGCGGUUUUGCGGUUUAUUGGCAAGACAACGAGUUAAAUAACAUGCAUGACUUAUUUAUGUUCAAUAAACAACAUGUGCAAAUUACUUAAGGAACAUGUAAAGUGAAUAUAAUUUCCUUCCACAUUUUUUCAAUUUCAACAUU
Molecule: non-coding RNA, 1356 nt
Organism: Misgurnus anguillicaudatus (oriental weatherfish)
Lineage: Eukaryota; Metazoa; Chordata; Actinopteri; Cypriniformes; Cobitidae
Source: RefSeq, a predicted model, not a curated record